AUGGAGGUGUCUGUGCAAGGGCAGGACAAGGUGUACAAGGACGUGAUCAAGCCGCUGGAGAGCAUCAGCAUCAACAUGACCUCCACCACCAAGGAAGACAUCCGCGACCUCAGCCCGCCUGACCCCGCCGUCCGCGAGUGGACCUCAAGACUGUCGUGUACCACGCCGAUGACGUCCUCGACGACUUCCUCUAUGAGGUGCUGCACCGCCGUGCAACCCAGAUCCGCCGCCGCUGCUCCACUACUCGCAAGGUUCAUCCUACCUUCUCUUCCCACUCCGGCUAGCUCUGUUUGA
Molecule: ribosomal RNA, 294 nt
Filed under: Triticum aestivum (bread wheat)
Lineage: Eukaryota; Viridiplantae; Streptophyta; Magnoliopsida; Poales; Poaceae
Description: partial small subunit ribosomal RNA
Source: RNAcentral